CUUGCCUCUCAAGAUGAGAAGUGGCAGCUCUGAUUCUUAUGUUUUUCAUAGUGGCCUUCCAUGGGCAGUUUCAUUUAUGAUUCCUCUGCCAAAAUCAUUUUGAAGGCCAUUGAGUGGGUCCUCAUGUGUACUGAGCUGUAAGUAAUGGUUUUCUGUCUUUUUCCUUUCUGUCAACUGUUAGUUCUGGUGUCAGGAUGCCUGCUCCUAUACCUUUCCUCUUUGUUACUUUUAAUCUCUUAUAAUUCAAGAAUUCUAAUAACAAAAUAGUUAGAAAUGCAUUUAAGUGAAUAAAUAAUGCUCUUUGAUUGAAGUGCAAUGGCUUUAGUACCCCAGCUUUGUAAUGACUCUUUCAGUUGUUCUGCAUUCUUUUUUUAAGAUUUCCUGAUUCUUGACUGCAUUCUGGUUCUGGGAACUGGCCAAUUGGGGUGUUACCAUGGAGGGAUUUUUGGAGAUGGACAAAGGCAUCAUGAAGUAAAAUGCAAUAGCCAACUGUGUGUUUUUGUAACACUUUUGUCAAACAAAACUGUCAAGUCUUCAAAAAUCAGGUUUAAUCAUGUUCAUUAAGUACUCACUUUUUAAAUAGCAUUAUGACAAAUUUGUUUGAAAGAUAAACAAUAAAAUCUGUUACCUUGUCAGCAACUAAAUAUUUAACAUGCUGCAGAAUAGAUUACAGUAACCAUAUUUUCCAGAUGUUUUUUGAUGAGAAAGUAAUUUUAAAGCGAAAACUAAAAGGUUCUUUCAACGAAUUUUCAUUUCAGUGAAGAGCACUGUGUACAACCUAUAUAUAUUUAUACAAAAGACUGUUGUGUACAACUUUGUAUAUAUUUACUAUCUAUAGUGAUAACUGUUCCCAACCAUAUACACCAUUCUCACACCCAAGUAUAUAUUUUAUGUGGUACUUUAAAAUCAAAUUUUAGCUCUAUAGUAGUGAAAGGAAUUACCUCAUUCUUUCAACAUUUGACCAAAAUAUAAUCCACACAGAGAUUUUUUUAAAAAUAUGCAUAUUAAAAAGUAUAUUUAAUAGAAUUAUGUGUACUGUGCUAUGAAGACAUUUGGAAAGGCUGCAUGUCAAUAGAUAUUCAAAGACAAAGUGGCGGGGCUGGAGAUGUGGCUCAAGCGGUAGCGCGCUCGCCUGGCAUGCGUGCGGCCCGGGUUCGAUCCUCAGCACCACAUACAAACAAAGAUGUUGUGUCCGCCGAAAACUAAAAAAUAAAUAUUAAAAAAAAUUUAUUAAAAAAAAAAGACAAAGUGGCAUUUGAUUCUGUUUUUUUUCUGUUGUAUAAUGUAGCUGCUGGUGUGUUUGGCAUUUACAACCUUCCGUUUCUGAAGAGAAAUUAUUUUUAAAUAUGUAUAGAUGACAUAUGAAUGUUAACCCAUAAAAAGGGAGGGUAAGGAGGCAAAGUAUAGAAGUUUAUUGGGUUAGACAAAGGAGAAUGAAGGGAAGGGAGAGCAAAUGGGAAUGGGAAAGACAGUAGAAUGAAUCAGCCAUAGCUUUCCUAUGCUCAUCCAUGAAUCCAUCAUGAGUGAAACUCCAUAUCAUGUACAACCAAAAUAAUGGGAUCCUAAUUAGAAUGGGUUGUACUCUAUGUAUGUAUAAUAUGGCAAGGUAUACUCAACUGUCAUGUAUAUCUAAAAACAACAAAUAAAAAAGAAAAAUAUUUAUAGAGAAAAUUAUACAGCUAUUCUCAAGUGAGAAUGUAAUUAUAUGAGCAGAGAAACAUGGGUAAGUAGCAGCAUUGCUUCUGACUAGAGAAGAUAUGACCAACAUCUGUAGCUACAUAAGUAAGGGAAUAUAUUUUUGGUAUGAGAUUGAUAGAUGAAGGUUGGGAACAGAGAGUUAAAGGUUUAGGGGGAAAAAAGGUUUGAGAAGUAUGUGACAAUCUAUUGCAGAGAUUUGGGCUCAUCCAUGUAUAUUGAUAAAGUUUGUUUGAAACCUGUUGUUUCUGUUUUCAGGUCUCAUCAGUCAUAAUAUAUGUUUGGUUUUCUUAGUCUUAUAAAUUUUAAGAUUACUUGUUCAGAAGCUACAGCCUACUGUACUAUUUUUGUUUAUGUGCUGAGGUAAAGACAUAAGAAACCAGUGUGUCUUAAACUUUCUAAGUUUGUAUUAUUGAAGUUAGAAGUCUGGGUUUAGAAAUACAUAAGUUGAAAUACAUGUUAACUGCAUAGUUUCUGCAACUUGGGAUUGGUUUUAUAUUGUAUUUACCCAAUAACACUUUUUGACUUUGGUGUACCUAUGAAGUUAAUGCUGCCUUGGUGGAAAGUUUAAAUAGACAGUGAUUUCUCUCUGGCUGGUUACUAUAUGUGCUGCAUACUAUUCAGUUAACAUAAAAUAGGGGGCUGAUUUGAUAUUUAGACAUAUAAAAUAUCUGGUUCAAUAAUGUUUUCUUUUAAUAAUUAAAGUUUUCUUUGGAGCUUAGGGCAGGAUUGUAUUUUGUGGAAUUGAGGUUGUUGCUUUUUUAUUUCUUUCAUUUAUUACCAUGUAUAGUUCUUUUUACUCCAUCCUCAUUUUUUUCCUCCCUGAUUGUUACCGCUGUUGACCGUGACGAGUCCUUGCUUCCCCAAUGUUGAAGAAUAACACCCGAGAAGCACGCUGAGGCAAGAUCAGAGUAGAAAUUAGAAGUUUAUUAAAGGACAGCAGAAAAGACUUCUCCGGGAGGAAGAAGGGGACCCAAGAGGUGGAAUCCGUGUAAGUGCCGUUGUUUCCCCUUUUUAUAGUUCUUUCAGUGUUGGAAUGUAGGUUGGAAGGCCCGAGGGGUGGGACACAGGUGGGCCAAAGAACUAAUCUGGGCAGGAAGGACUUCAUUAACACCUCUUUGGGAUGGGCUAUCUUCAAAUCUGCUGGGGCUGUUCAUUAAAACUUCUUUGGGAUGGACUUUGGGCCUAGGGCUUUUCUUGGGACUUCAUUAACAUUUCAAGAGUUGCUCAACAUGGCCUCCAUUUUAGAUUUCACUCGAUAUUAGACCCCAUUUACCUAACUACACUGACUGCCUAAUUUUAAAUCUGGCUUCAUGAUGUCAUUUUGGAUAACUGAGGUGGUAGUGUAGUGCAUUGUUUUCUUAAGUCCCCUAAAUCCAUCUUAUUUUGGUAGUUAAAUAUGACUCUCUAAAAGUGACAAUGGAGGAUUGAGGGAAUGAUUCUCUUUUUAAAAAAUUUAUUUAUUUUUUAGUUGUAGUUGCACACAAUACCUUUAUUUAUAUGUGGUGCUGAGGAUCAAACCCAGGGCCUUGCACAUGCUAGGCGAGUGCUCUGCCACUGAGCCACAACCCCAGCCCUGAGGGAAUGAUUCUUAUAGACAUCUGUUUUAGAGCAUUUGUUUCUUGAACUAUAGUUAUAAGCAUAAAAACGACAUAAUUAAGUCUACAUCAUACUUAUCUGCUUGCUAAUUCUGUGGUACAUUUUGUCAUAAGUAACCUGUAACAAUUAUUAAUGAAACAUAGCACUAUGUAUAUGAUGCGCUUGUUUUUAUUUCACAGAAAAAUAUUUGCGGGGGGACAAAGGAAAAAAUAUCUUGGCAGUUCCAAACAUUGGUAAUACGCUAGAAGAACUCAUGGGACAAAGUAUAUCAAUGUACACAUGGCUAGGUUUAUUACAGAAAAAUGAUACACAAUGGGGUCAUCAAGGGAAAAAGACACAGGUGGAACUGGAUAAAUCCAGGCACAGUCUUCCCAUGCUGUCUUCUUCCUGUGAGGGAACACACAGCCUGCUCCUUUCUCCAGCAGUGAAAAAUGCAGUAUUAAAUGUGCUGUGUUUUGGCCAAAGGAAGACCAUUAGAGACUCAGCUUCCAAGGUUUUUAUUGGAAGCUAGUCACAUAGGCAUCCUCUGCCUAGCAACUACAAAAAUUCCAGACUCCCCAAAGGAAAGCAAGUGUUCAUCAUAAAUCACAUUGUACAGUGUAGGGAUAGCAAACCAGUCUUAUCAGUCCAGGGGAUGAUUAAAUGCCAAAUUCCCAAAUGCAAGCCAAGGGCCAACCUUGCAAGUAAGUCCUUCUAAAGACAGCUGCCUCAGACCUGCUGUGUUAACUCUUCUCUGUACUGUCCAUCCCCAGAGCCCUUGCUACCAACUCUUUACAAUAUGUAGUCAUCAAUAGGAGUCCAUGGGGCAUGGUCAGACCAACUUGCAGUAUUGACCUCAGUCAGGCUGUCCAUGGGGUCCUCAAUUUAGCCAGUGAAAGCAAAUUCCAUUAACCACAAGGUCUAUCUUAAAUUUCCUUAUGAAUCCUUUUUUUAUACUUGUCCUGAGGCAUCAAUAGACACAGCACAACUCUAGUCAGUCCAUUGAAGCUGAACUGAAUGCCUUCUAGGCUGAGGCAGUGUUCUGAUAGCAAGCACACAUUAGAAGUCCAAUCCCCGAGGGCACAGGUGGUAUCCCUGGAAACAAAGAGUUUAUAAAUUGUUACGGUACCUCAAGCAGGACAUGCAUUAUAUAUUUUAUUAAAUUUCUUACAAAACUUCCCUUUUAUUUCUUUUAAUCUAUAAUUUUAUGGAGUUUAUCUUGUGUUCAUUGUCAUUGCAAUAAUUACUAAUCUAUUUAUGGUUAGAACUUCGCCUUUAAAGUCAUUUUUUUCUACUUCUUUCUGCAGGAUUAUCAUUGGUGAUUGAGAGCCUCUUUUCCAGCAGUUUUACAGCUAUUUCUUUUAUGUAUGCAGUUCAUUAAUUCUUUACCAAACUUCAAAUCAUGAGCAUUGCAAGCACCAUUUUGUACUCUGGGUACACAAUGAUCAUAAUGCUGAUUUUCUUCUUUUUCACAGGUAACUGCAGAAUUACUUAGUAUGUUUCAGAUUCUCUAAAGAGUCUUGGAGACAUCCAUAAUGUAAUAAGCAUCAAUUAACAAUUAGUGGAAGGAAUAGGGAACAGAGUCAUCAUGUUCAUUUUUAAGCUUUGGGCAUCAAAGAUUACAAAGCCUGGGGAACUGGAGGGACCUUAUGUACUUAGCUGUGAGACUGUCCCUUGUGAAUCUUUUUAAGCAGUAGGGAUGUGUUCCAAAGCACAGAAAGGGUUAUGUGUAAUCACCUUUGAACAGCCUCCAAGCAUAAAAAUUAACCAACUUGAAUAACUUUUAAAUUAUAAAAUUAGAUUAAUUAAAUCUCUGGUCAUAUAAGUAAUUAUAUGUGAAGACAAGAUGUAUACUUGUCAGGAUUAUUCAUUUGAGCAUAUUAUUUGGGUUCAAAUGUGGUAGAAACUUUUGUUGAGAUUAGUGCUUGAAGCAGAUGAAAAAAUGGAAUAUUUUAUAAAAUGGUUCAGUUGGAGAAAUAAUGAAGUUGGAGAGCUUUAAGACCUUCUGAACAAAAUGAAACAGUUUCUUCUUGCCUCACUUUUAAGUUCUGGUUCUAGUUCAAGUCAUACCACUUGCAUAGAUCACACUGGAGAAUGUUUAAGUAUUUUCUUUGAUUUAAAUGUAAGGUUCAGGGGCUGGGGUUGUGGCUCAGUGGUUGAGCGCUUGCCUACACGUGUGGGGCCCUGGGUUUGAUCCUCAGAACCACAUAAAAAUAAAUAAACAAAAUAAAGGUAUAUGUCCAUCUACAACUAAAAAAAUAUUUAAAGAAAUGUAAGGUUCAACAAAUACAUAAAAAUUAACAAUGAAGGCUGGGGUUGUGGCUCAGUGGUAGAGUGCUUGCCUAGCAUGUGUGAGGCACUGGGUUGCAUCCUCAGCACCACAUAAAAUAAAUAAAUAAAAUAAAGGUAUUAUGUCCAUGUACAACUAAAAAUUACCUAAAAAUAUUAAUUAUGAAUAUUUCUUAGAAAUCCAAGCUGUAAGACAAAUGUCAACAUUAUUCGAGAAGCUAGGUAUCUUACCAGUGCUUCUUUUUAGAAGAUAACACAUGGAAUAUGGAUUGCCUUUUAUGUAUUAUUGGUCUCAACUCUUAGAAAAGACUAUACAGGCCUCUUGUCAUCUCUUGGUUGCCCAAAGUUUUAUUUACAACCAAAGGCCAGAGAGCUUCUCACAAUUCUAGUCUAACAAGGCUGCUUGUGUUUGAUUUUAGCCUUUUAUUGAAAUAUGCAUACACAAAAGCACAUGCAACCUAAGUGUACAGCAUGAUGGGUCAUUAAAAAGUGAGCCACCUUUGUAACUAUUGUUCACAUCCAUAAACAAUACAUGAUCAUUAUCCCUGAAGCCACUGCUGGGCCUCCUUACAGUCGUCUUCCACAAGGGCAAACACUACUACCCUGGCUGUUGAUAGAAUGGAUUAAUUUGGCCUGUAUUUCAUUGCAUAUAAAUGGACUUACAUACAUUACAUGCAUAUUUACAUACCUAUACACAGAAAGACAUGCUCUUUUAUAUCUUUUUAAAAUUUUUUAUUUGUUUUAAUUAGUUAUACAUGACAGUAGAAUGCACUUAUAUACUUUGAUAUAUCAUACAUAGAUGGGAUAUAAUUUCUCAUUUUUCUGAGUAUACAUAUUGUAAAAUCACAUUGGUCAUGCAGUCACAUACAUACAUACAGUAAUAAUGUCUGUUUCAUUCUACUAUCUUUCUUAUCCUCACAUCUCCUGCCUUCCCCUCCUUUCACUUCCCUCUACCCCAUCUAAGGUAAUGCUAUUCUUUUUUCUUUUUUCUUUUUGCAUUACAACUUUUAAUACACAUAUAUGCCACAAUUUUUGUAUCUCUGUUUGUAUAUAAAGUAUGUUGAUACCCAAUUCAAGUCUUCAUACGUGUACUUUGUAUAAUAUCUGGUUUCUUUAGCAGCUGGUUUCUUUCUUUCAAUAUGGCUUGUGAGAUUCAUCUAAAUCAUCAUGUGUAGAUGUAGUCUGUGUUUCUCAGAUCUUUUGUUUUGGAUCCCCUCCAUCCAACAUGGUGAGUUACUGGCUUUGAUAUUUAUGUAGUAUAAAAUUAGAUAUAUAGUAGUUCCCCCUUGUCAGUGGAGGAGACAUUCAAAGACCCCCAGUGAAAAAAAAAAAAGACCCCCAGUGAAUGCCUGAAACUAGGUAGUAUUGAAUACUACAUGUAUACUAUGUUUUUCCUCUUUAUCUACAUUCUUUUUUAAAAAAUAUUUAUUUUUUUAGUUGUAGUUGGACAUGAUAUCUUUAUUUUAUUUAUUUAUAUGUGGUACUGAGGAUUGAACCCAGGGCCUUGCAUUGCUAGGCGAGCGCUCUACCACUGAGCCACAACCCCAGCCCUAUCUACAUUCUUAUGAUAAAGUUUAAUUUAUAAAUCAGACACACUAAUAGAAUUGAUUCAAAUUGUUUAUUUCUGGAGUUUUCCACUGAGUAUUUUCAGAGCAUAGUUGAUCACAGGUCGUUGAAGCCACAAAAAGUUAAAGCACAGAUAAGAGGCAACUACUGCAUUAAGCACAAUCAUUUCAGGCUAUGUUUUCUUCAUUACCCAACACUUUGGCUCAGAUUGCCUUUUUCCGGUAGUCUUAUAACAGGUUCUUUUUUCAAAAUAGAUGUAAUCUUCAGUGGUCACAUUGCCAACAAAAAUCUUUUGCCAUUGGUUGGCUUCAUCGCAGCAUUCUAGUUUCUGACACCACACUAUGCUGAAUACUGACCUCAAAGAUCAAUAGUGAUCUCUUGAUAAAGUUAGUGGCCUUUCACUAUUCCUCACCCUCCUUGGCUUCUUUAAUUAAGACAAUGUAACACCUGUGGAAUUCUUUCAAUAUCAUUUGCAUUAUUGCAUUAUUCUCUAUGUUCUACUCUGUGCCUUCUCCUGUUUUCCUUCCUGUUCCUGUCACUUAACUCUAGCUUUUAUUAUCAUUUCAGUCCUUCCUUUCUAUAUUCUCUGUCUUAGAACUCAUUCAGUAUCAUGACUUCACUAUUUUCAAUGGUGACUGCUCCCAAAUUUGUAUCUUUAGCCAUAACCUCUAUCCAGCUGUAUCCUGAACAUUUUCAUGUUCCAGUGGUACUGCAAACUCAACAUGACCCCUGAAGAUGAAGUUAGGAUUUCCUUUCCUCCAAAUUGCUUAUCUUCAUAUCUUUUAUCUUUGACCAUCAUUGCUAAUCUCUGAUCUUCUUAGCUUAUUUUGAAGGGUUUCUUAAUAAACCCUUCUAUAAUUUAUAGCUAAUAAGCAUAAUUUCCCUAGUUACUUUCCUUAGGAAGCUUCUUAUCUGUUACCAUUCCUUUCUUUUUCUUCUUCGACAAGAUUGGUCUAGGUCUUUAUUCCCUUUUGCCUAGAUUCCUCAGAUUGCCUCCUAUUUAGUUUGCUGCACUGUAUUCUCUCCUUUUGUGUGUGUUACUGGGGAUUGAACCCAGAAGUUUUCUACCACAAAACUACAUCCUCAGUCCUUUUUGUUUAUUUUUAUUUUUAUUUUGAGACAGAGUCUCACUAAGUUGCUGAGGCUAUCUUGAACUUGUAAUCCUCCUGCCUCAGCUUCCUGAGUUGCUAGGGAUACUGGUAUGCACCACCCAUGUCUCUCCUUUUCUAACCCACUCUAUGAGUGGCCUGCUACCACAUAAACCUCUUUAUUUUUUGUAUAAUAGUACAAUUAAGACCAAGAUUAAUUUUUAACAGGUCAUCACAUAUUUAAAGCAUGUUCACAGAGUGCCAGAUACAUGCUAGGUUCUUGAGAUCUGUUGGUGAAGAAGACAGGUAAGUUGCCCUGUUUUUAUCAAUCUUAUAUUCUACUGGAAGGGAGAUAAAAUAAACAUUGUAGAUUUGGUGAACUUUUAAAAAGAAGUGAUAUUGAUGAAGAAGUGCAUAGUCAAAUAUUUCAAGUAGAGGUGAAAGUAUGUUCAAAAGCUCUGAAGUGGGAAGGAGUUUGACAUCUUCAGAGAAUAUGGAAAAGUUGAAGAUGGUAAGGUGGGAGAGUGGCACAAGUGUCAAUAGUGAUGUUAGAAGAGAAGAAGUGGUCAGAUCAUGUGACAAUCUUGUAAUCUAUAACAAGGUUGAAUUGUAGAACUGAUGGAAGUUGAGGGGGUUUAAAUAGGAUGAUAAUGCAUUCUUCUUAUUCUAAAAUUUUAAUAUCAUACUUCCUUCUCAAUAAAGAUCUAAACUCACCUUAGUGUUUGGGGUCCUCCACAGUGUAACCUCACUCUGAUACUCAAUGUAUUUUCUAAGACUCUUAAAGUUGAAUCAUUCAUUAAGUUCAGACCUCUCUUCUUUUGACUUUUUCAGCAUAAGUGUCCCUAACUAGACACAAUAGUUCCUUGACAGCAGGAACUAUUGAAACUGUUUUGUGUCCUUCAGAGUGCUAAGCACAUGGUUUUCCUUGAAUUGCAGUGAGUAAGGAAAACAAGAGAUAUCACCAGGGUAUUGUGUUUCCUUAUGUAUUCUAAAAUUAAAUUAUGGGUGUGGAAAUCUCCCAAGUAUAUUAUGGCUACCAUUCAUAUUAUGAAAAAACUAGUAAAAUCAUGAAGUGUGUUUUUGACAUCUGUUUUCCAGAACUGUUCCUUAAGAAGCCUUGUCAGCUUACAGAGUCUUAAAUGGCAUCUAUGUACUUUUUGUCAUUAUAUUUCCACAGCAGGAAGCAAUGCUUAUUAUGUCAUUGCAUUUUUGAGGAAGAAGUCCUAUUUUUGUGGUUUUGUGGUAAACCCAGGGGGGCUUUACUACUGAGCUACAUCCCCAGCUCUUUUAUUUUAUUUUAAAUUUGAGGCAGGGUUUCACUAAGUUGCUGAGAUUGGCCUGGAACUUUCAAUACUCCUGUUUCAGCCUCCUGAAUCACUGGAACUACAGGUGUAUGUCACUGAGAUUAUAGGUGUAUGCCACUGCACCCAGGAAAUAAGCCCUUUAAUAUUUAGACUUGGUAAUAUAGUUGUGCACAAAGUAUAAUUAUUAAGUGCUGAUUACUUUUGCUUGCUGUAGACAAAUGAUUUUUUUUAAAUUUUUUAGUUGUAGAUGGACACAAUACCUUUAUUUUGUUUAUUUAGUUUUUAUGAGUGCUGGGGAUCGAACCCAGGGUCUCACAAAUGCUAAGCAAGUGCUCUACCACUGAGCCACAACCCCAGCCCCCAUAGACAAAUGUUUUGAGUGAUUUUUUAAAACAAAAUGACACCUUUAAAAUUAGCAAUAUCUACCUAUGUAAAAAUUGCUGAGGAGUUUCACACUUAUAGAUUCACACUUAUUGAGAAUAAUUAUGCAUUCACCUAAUCUAACACUUUUCCUUGUGGCCACCACACUCCUCUUUGGUGCUUGAGUUCAUCUAUGGCAUCACAGCAGAAAUGUAGGACUUUGAAACUGUCACUGUGAAGCACUAUGAAUGUAGGAAGACACUUUGUUUAUGUAGUAAAUAUUUUCCAUGUUACUACAUAUCCUUCAUAUUUAUCAUCUUGUAGCUGCUUAAUCCAUUGAGAAGAUUUCCUAAUUGCUCCUUCACUUUUAAACCAUUUUUUAUUGCCAAUUUUGAAUUAUUUCCUUAAGAUAGUCUGUGAAGUAGGAUGGCCAUCAAAAAACAUUAAUACUUCUAUGGCUCUUUAUGCUUUCUAGCCAUCAAUAGUGUAUACCAGUUUUACCAUGGUCUUGGCUGGCUUUGAGUAUUAUUUUCCAAAAUAAAUAGCAGUUUUCUUUCUUUCUCUUUUCAUCUAGUGUGUCUAAAAUGGCACCCCAUUGUUUCCUUUCUCUCAUUUUUGGAGCCAAGGGAAGUGAUGUGCACUGUGGCUUCUCUAUCCAAUUUUCAUUUGAUAACACACUUACAGAUGUAUAAUGCCAAGUCAAAAUAGGACUCAGGUGACAGGGAGAGGAAGCAGAAACCACAACCCCUACCAAGAAAGGGUACUAGAAGAGAAACCUUGUACUUCUAGAGGUAAAUUAAGUUCAGUUAAGGUUGGAGGACUUACCCAAAUUCCAACUGGUUUUCAUUGAACUAGUUUGAUAGUUGCUCUUUUAUUUGUAUCAUGUUUUAUUUUAGAUAUUAACAAAUAAAUUAAGGUCUUGAGAAAACUAAUUGAAAUAAUAUUUCUAUUUUGAUGUAAGAGAUGUAAAAUCACAAUAAGCAGUUGAGUUUCCUUUGUCUUAAAGCCCAAUGCUGUCUUGUGUUAUAAUGAUGAAGUUUAUAGCAGUAUAAACUUUUGUUGACAUUGCUAUUGUGUGGUAAAUUAAAUAUCUUAUGAUGAUGAUAUAUAUUUUAGGCAAGUAAUUUGCAUUUAGCGGUAUUCUAUUAUUCUAGAGCAGUGGUUCUUGACCAGGGAUGAUUUGCUCUCCAGGGAACAUUUAGAAAUGUCUGGAGAUAUUUUUGAAUGUUGUGGUGGCAGAUGCGAUGACAUCUAGUGAGUAGAGGUCAGGGACAGUGUUAAACAAUUCUACAGUGUACUAAACAGCUUCCACAUAAAGAAUGAUAUGUCCCAAUCUUCAGUAGUGCCACUGUUAAGAAACCCUGGUCUAGAGUGUACUAUUUUUGAACCUCACAUUUACUUGGGAGGUAAUGCUAUUUUCAAAAUACAAUUUUGAUCAUUUUGAGACAUUGUGUUUCUAAACUGAGACUCUUAACCACCAAUCACUGGGCAGUGAUUAAAGUCAAUGUGAUACAAAGAGCUUUUAAUACCCAGAAGAAGUAUUGGGCAAGUGUAGAGCACUUUUCUGUUGGCUUUCUCACUGUCUGUGCUUUGAAUAUAUUUUUAUUCAUUAAAAGAAGCUAAUGAAGUUCAAUAUAUUUUGAGAGACUCUGCUGCAUAAUAUUUUAUCACUAAAUUAAAGUGAAGAAUCCUUGUUCUCACACAGAGCAAGAUGAAAUAUAGUACACUGAAGGAAAUGUCCAAUUAUCUUAACACAAAUGUUAGCAAUAAUGGGCCUUUUGUGUUUUAUUAUACCAAGUUGUUGCUAGCUCUACCUUAUUAAAAUUUUCAGUUCAGAAGACAGAUCCAAAAGAGAUAGAGAUAUAUUAAUGCUAAUCAUUAGCCAACCAACAAGCAUUUAUUAAGCUUCUUUUAUGAGCCUGGCGAUGUACUAAUUGAGAAUAUGGAAACAUUAAAAUAUGAUAUUAUUUGGUUUUUAUUGAGUUGACUAUAUGUGAGCUAUUUGCUUAUAUUUAUCUAAUUUAAUUAUCACAAUUAAUAUAAGGGUAGGUCACAUUACUUUUAUUACAUGGAUGAGGAAACUGAGGCCCAGAGAGUUGAUGUUCUAGGUCACUCAGCUAGUAAGUGAUGGUGCCAUGAUUCAUUCACACCCAAGUUAGUUUGGCUCCAGAGUUCAUUCUCUCAAAUAUAACUCUAUAUCCUCACCAAGAAAGGCAUUUUAUCUGAGCUGGAGCUAAACCAACAACCAGAGGAUGCCUAUGGAAUAUAUUCUGUGGUCCUCUAUUUGUCCAGGUGGACUACUCUCCCCACCCCCUCCUCCUUUUGUACUCCUGAGGAUUGAAUCCAGGGGAACUCUACCACUGAGCUAAAUCCUCAGGUGUUUAAGUUUUUCUUUUUGAGAUAGGGUCUCACUAAGUUGCCCAGGCUAGUCUUGAACUAAGUUGCCAUCCUAUUGCCUCGACCUUUCAAGUAGCUGGCAUUACAAGUGUGCACCACUAUGCCUGGCCAGGUAGACUGUUCUUAAUUAGAGGAAUUAAGACUGGAACAUGUGAAGCAAUACAAUAUCAUCCUCAGAAAUAUAUGAUGACAAUAGAAUAUCUCAAGUCUUUCCCAUGACCUCUCAACACUUCUUUAAAAAAAUAGAGGGAGUCUUUCCAUUUUUCUACAUUAUUCUAGGAUCAAGAGGGUCAAAUAUAUUUUAGAGGUAUAUAACCUCUAAAAUAAUUCCAUUACUUCUUCAAUUAUAGAUCAUUUUUAUUUUGGCUUACAUUUAUGAACCAAAGAAAGUACUGAAUUCUGUAGGCAAAUACGACACAGUUGUCUAUAUUCUAAAGGAUACGGAAAAUGUCUGGGUCAUAUUAUUUUUCUCAGGGCAAGUAGUUAUAGACCUAUUCCAAUUCUGGGCCUUAUGUUGGCCAGUAUUCUUCUGCUUUUGAGUAUCAUACCACAUAAUUUUCAAAGGAAAGGAAGAGUUCUGUUUCCCCAGAGGUAAGCAGAAGCUGUUCUCUGGCAUUAUCUUACUGUUCGCUUCACAUUUGCUAGCAUCUCAUUCCUGGGUUGGUUUCUGCCACCUCUACUCCUAGCUUUUCUUGCCCAAUUGAUAUUUAUUCUUUGAGUUUUUCUGCACAAUUUGAUUCCUGAUCAUCUCAGCUCCAUUCUAGAACAACCAGGGGCAGAACUGCCUUUGAGUCCCAGCUGUACUGCUUAUUGGUCAUAUGGUCUAAGUCAAAUCACUUUAUCUUUCUGAGCCUGUUGUUUCCUUGUGGAAUAAGAAAAAAAUAAUAGCACAUACCUUAUAAAAUUCAACUCGAUGUCCUCACAUACAUGAAGCAUUCAACCCACAGUCAGGCAUAUAGAAAGUAUGUAGUAAAUAACAAUAUAAUAACUUUCUUCUUCCUCCUCCUCCUUUUCUUCCUCCUCCUCCUCCUCCCCUCCUCCUCCUUUUCUUCCUCCUCCUUCUCCUCCUCCUCCUCCUCCUCUUCCUUCUUCUUCAAAUGCAAAUUUGAUCAUCUUAUUCUCUGGUUUAUGUAUCUUCAUGGGCUUCCAGUUGUCUCCAUAUCAAAUCCAGUCUUCUUAACUUUCCCCCAGCGACUGUGGCAGUCUUUUCUUCUAUAUGCUCUCUUUAAUGUUCCUUCAGUUCUCUAUCUCAUAUCCUUAAUGCUCCAACCCAUCUGCCAUGGUUCACAAUGUUUUACAACUAUCAGGGUUUUAAAAAAAUAUUUAAAUCUUAAUGUGUACUCUUCCCUUCUUUUCCCUCUGUAUGAAGUAGCUCUCUCCCAUCCUAAAAUGCUUCUGGACCUAGAUUUAUAGCAUCUUUUCUAUGAUGCCCUCUGUAAAUUUCUGCCAAUAAUUCAUUAAUUCAAUAAAUCUAUAUUGAAUAUCUUCUAGUUGUCAGGCACUGCCCUAGGGGCUGGGACUUUGGAAGUAAAGAAAAUUUUAAAGGGAUAAAAAUCUCAAUUCUCAUGGAGCUUGUGUCAUUAUGCAGUUAAUUUAAACAGCUCAAUAUAACAAACUUAUGUUGUCCACCUACAAUAUGUCCGGCACUUAUGUUAAGCACUGGGGUACAAAACUGAAUCGCUUAAUCCCUUGCCUCAAGGGGGUACUGUAGUUUGGAGAAAGAAGACUCCUAAACAAAUUACUUUCCUGCAGUGUGGUGGGGAGUCUGAUAAAGGUAAGCCCAGGUUUGUUAAUGCACCUAGCCCAAUCAUGGGGAGGAAAAGAGGAUCAAGGGGAGCCUUUUCUGGAGAAAGUGAUAAUUUGAGUCUUGAGAGAAGACUGAGUCUUUUCUUGUGUGAAUGAUGUUGAGAAUGGAACCAAGGGCCUUGUACAUGCUAGGCAAGUGCUUUACCACUGAGCUAUACCCCAGUCCUGAAAGGAGAUUGUCUUAAAAGUAAAAGGCAGAGCAGAUAACUGAAGAAGACAAUAUUAUAUGGAGAUCUGCAGAAAAUUUGGGGUUGUUAGAGUUUAAAUUUUAAGCUGUAGAAUGGCAGAAACAAGUCCUAGGAAAACAGGCAAGAACCAGAUCCUGCAGGGCCUUGUGUACUGACACUAAGGAGUUGGAAUUCUUAUCAAUUAUAAUUGUUGUUUUCAAAUUUAGGUGUGCAUCAGAUUCACUUGUGGAAAUUUCUUGAAAUGAACUAAAACCAAUAAAUCAGUUCCCAGGGCCCUCCCUGAGCUCCUGAAUCAGAAUCCAUGCUGAUUUGUAUUUUUAACAGCUUAAGAAGUUUCCAAUACUCCACAGCUUGAGUAGUUUUGCUAUGGGGAGCUACUAAAGGUUUUUAAGUAAGGGUAUAACAACCAAUUUUUUUUUGACAGAAUGGAGGAUGGAGUUGAGAGGAAAGCUGGAGGUUUUUCAGAUUAGAGAUGAAGAUACAGUGUCUAUGGAGAUGGACACACAGAUGGAGAAGAUGAAUUAAAAAGGAAUUGGAAUUUGCAAUUUUUUGUGACUGACAAGAUUUGGGUGCUAAAGGGAUAGGAUUUAAGGUAACUUCUCUGUCUCUGGUUGUGACCUCUAUAUAAAUAGUGUUAUGAAGUCGUAUAGCCACCAACUGAGAUUAUUC
This 14940-nucleotide long non-coding RNA is filed under the name Marmota monax (woodchuck). The record is from RNAcentral. Lineage: Eukaryota; Metazoa; Chordata; Mammalia; Rodentia; Sciuridae.